AGAUGACAAUCAUGGCAAAGAGAAGUGUCAUGUACCCUUCUGUGGUUUACUAUACUUCUAGUCUCCUUGAGCAAUUGUAAGUGAUAGUUCUCAGAAAUUUUAGACUUCAUUGGUUUCAGUAGUUUUGUUGUAUUAACACCUUGUCAAUGUGAACCACAGUAUAACUACAUGUUAGGCACAUUCGUUGUAUUAUGGAUGUUAUGUGGGUUUUGUCAUGUACAUUAAUUUCUUUAUAUCCUUUGCAACAAUUGGUUAUGUUUUAUAUUACCAGCUUUUUAUUAUACAUUGGUAUCAAUAUUUACUUAUGCAAAUCUAUUGUGACCAUUAGCUUUAUAGUUCUUACGUGAAACAGCAUAGUCAUACUACUCUUCAAAUUCUUUUACGUGGAAGUUAUUUAAAAAGUAAGUUGUUGUAUGUGCAGGCCAAUAUUGAAGAUAUUAAUGUUUCUAAUAAUAAGAUAAAGGUUGCAAAACUAGCAAGGUAACUUCUACAAACUGAUGCUUACAGAAAAAGUAGCUAAGAGAGGUUGAUUAAUAAGCAUGUUGUUGUACUUGUGUUGAUUUCUCAGACUCCUGGUUUAAGUAUGAAAUUUUGAAUUCACAAUGUCCAAUUUGAUUGCCUGUAACAUGAAGUAUUUUGCAAUAUGCAGACAUAGAAUUAUGUUAGUGCAGAGUUUUAUAUAUAUAUGUUGUACCAUUAAAUCUUGAUCUUUAUAACCAUAUGAUGCUCACAUGGCUUGCAAUUCCAUUGCAAUUGAGCGUCGCAGCAAGUCCAUUGAAAUAUAUGUGAGUUACAAAUUAUUAUUAGCACUUUCAAGUACAUGUAUAGUUUCAACAUAUCAUUGCUCAAAGGAUAAUGCUCUUCAUAUUAUUCCUUCUGCUUUGCUGAGAUGCGAUUCAUUUGUAAUAAAAUUCUAAGUCAAUGAUUUUUGGACACCUAACAACUCCCUUUUCAUGAGUAUGGUGUUUUGCCUUUUUGAUAUAGUCUGUGUGAACCGGAAAAUUGAAGAAAUCUCUUCUCCAGUGUUGAUUUGCAAUGGGGGAAGGGCCCAUGUUUUGGGUACUCAAGUCUGCAGUUAGAGUCUAGUGCAAUGCUUGUAACUUCGCUGACAUUCCUCAUCUUCAUCCUACUUUUAGCUCAGGAAACCUGCAGUUGGGGUUGAGACAGAUGAGUCUGGAGGCACAGUGAUCGUGGCAAAGGUGCAUGAAGAGGCUUCCAGUAAUUGAAAUUAUAAUUCAAUUGGUAACAGAAAAAUUCUCAGUUAAUAUGAAGCUGUCUGAUGAGGUUAUUAGUGAGCAGUUAGGUUAUAACAUUUAGUGUGUAGAUAUAGUGUUUUUCAAUUCAUGUUUGUAAUUACUGACCUCUAUUGCGUUUUCUCAUGUGGAACUGAGAGAUUUAAUACAAUGGUUGUUAUC
This is an RNA transcript of Fragaria vesca subsp. vesca, 1415 nucleotides long. RefSeq lists it as uncharacterized. The transcript is spliced from 2 exons. NCBI's taxonomy places the organism in Eukaryota, Viridiplantae, Streptophyta, Magnoliopsida, Rosales, Rosaceae. The record is from RefSeq and is a predicted model, not a curated record.